GACGAACGCUGGCGGCGUGCUUAACACAUGCAAGUCGAACGCUGAAGCCUGGCUUUUGUUGGGUGGAUGAGUGGCGAACGGGUGAGUAACACGUGAGUAACCUGCCCUCUUCUUUGGGAUAACGCCCGGAAACGGGUGCUAAUACUGGAUAUUCACUUGCCUUCGCAUGGGGGUGGGUGGAAAGGGUUUUUUCUGGUGGGGGAUGGGCUCGCGGCCUAUCAGCUUGUUGGUGGGGUGAUGGCUUACCAAGGCUUUGACGGGUAGCCGGCCUGAGAGGGUGACCGGUCACAUUGGGACUGAGAUACGGCCCAGACUCCUACGGGAGGCAGCAGUGGGGAAUAUUGCACAAUGGGCGCAAGCCUGAUGCAGCGACGCCGCGUGAGGGAUGGAGGCCUUCGGGUUGUGAACCUCUUUCGCUCAUGGUCAAGCCGCAACUCAUGGUUGUGGUGAGGGUAGUGGGUAAAGAAGCGCCGGCUAACUACGUGCCAGCAGCCGCGGUAAUACGUAGGGCGCGAGCGUUGUCCGGAAUUAUUGGGCGUAAAGGGCUUGUAGGCGGUUGCUCGCGUCUGCCGUGAAAUCCUCUGGCUUAACUGGGGGCGUGCGGUGGGUACGGGCUGGCUUGAGUGCGGUAGGGGAGACUGGAACUCCUGGUGUAGCGGUGGAAUGCGCAGAUAUCAGGAAGAACACCGGUGGCGAAGGCGGGUCUCUGGGCCGUUACUGACGCUGAGGNNCGAAAGCGUGGGGAGCGAACAGG
Molecule: ribosomal RNA, 754 nt
Filed under: uncultured Actinomyces sp.
Lineage: Bacteria; Bacillati; Actinomycetota; Actinomycetes; Actinomycetales; Actinomycetaceae
Description: bacterial SSU rRNA
Rfam family: Bacterial small subunit ribosomal RNA
Source: RNAcentral